GCGUGCAGAGUCCGGGUACCUAUUCAUGUGCAUAUAAGGUAACUCCAAAGGUGGUGAUGAGGUUGGACUCUACUUGCACCUUUUAAGGAGAUGGCGUUAGACCCAAGUUAUGGUAAUUACCAUAUACUAGGAGUCCUAGUCCGAUUGGGAGAAGGAUUCUAAGGUGGUGAGUACUAUAAAUAUGAGGCCUAGGUUAUCAUUAUGAGGUAAUACCUAUUUUGAGCACUAAAUACUUAUCCUCCAUUGUUAAACCUUGUAACGGCCUGUACUCAUUCUCACACCGGAGCUAUCCCCCGGCGGCAUAAGCCGUCAAGCUUCUGUGUGAUCCGUUACUGUGCA
Molecule: long non-coding RNA, 339 nt
Filed under: Panax ginseng (ginseng)
Lineage: Eukaryota; Viridiplantae; Streptophyta; Magnoliopsida; Apiales; Araliaceae
Description: long non-coding RNA (PGIN_LNC017549)
Source: RNAcentral